GCCGGGCGCCGGGCCCGAGGAGCGGCGGAGGCCGCGGCGGCACCGCCGCCACGGUCGCGGACGAGUGCGGCGCCGGUGAGCGCGGCCCAGAGGCGGCGGCGGCAGAUCUAUCCAUACUAAUGGAAACGUAACUGGAACUGACUCUGAUGAUAAAAUCAAGGACCAUCAAGCAAGAUCAUGCAGUAGGCAACUUCGCUUCCACAUGAAGUUACCAACAUUUAGAAUUUCUACUUAUUCUAAGAUUCCAAUUACAGCGACAUCAGAGAAUGAGUUAAUCUCCUCAGAAAUCACUAAAUACUACUCUGAGGGGCUUAGAAAUUAACAGGGUAAGUUGAAUAUCAUUUUCAAUACUAUCUGAAUUUUUACAGUGAAUUCCUCAUUUGGGCCUAUAGUAUGUCAGGAAACAAGUUGGACACUGGGAAGAAGAUUCUUACUUUUAUUUUUCAUGCCUGUAGUGGUUUUCAGCUUUCUUUUGAAUCAGGGCCCCUUUGAGAGUCUACUUAAAUCUGUGUAGAUCUUUUCACAAACAUUCACACAUGUUCAGUCAGAGUUGGAAGAUCUUCAGAAAUUUCCUAAAGUUCACAGACCCUUGGGCAACCCUGUGCUUUGCAGUUUUUCAGACAUUUUUGCAGGCUUUGUUUCUCUUUUAAAUAUUACAACUCUAUGAAUUAAUUACUGGUAUUGAUAUUUUACAUCGAAGAAACCGGUGCUCAAAAUGGUAUGUGACUUUUCUUGUAAUGCAGCUGUCAAAUGUGAGGCUAGGAUUGAAGACUUUCCCAAAUUUUAAUAAUACUGUCGGCUUUUUUUAAGGUUCUUUCUUCUUAAUAUGUCAGAUUGCUCCUUAGUAAGAUUGUGUCAACCUUUGCUCAUUGUCAGCAAGUGAGCAUGUCUGCUUCACCACGUUAUCCCAUUGGGUAUUCCCCCACCCUAGUGUUUGCUAAAUUGGCAUGUAGAUAAUUGCAUUUCAUUUUAAUUUGUUUCUUUGUUGUAUUUAGAGUUCUCUAU
Molecule: long non-coding RNA, 1005 nt
Filed under: Piliocolobus tephrosceles (Ugandan red Colobus)
Lineage: Eukaryota; Metazoa; Chordata; Mammalia; Primates; Cercopithecidae
Description: lncRNA (ENSPTEG00000036949.1)
Source: RNAcentral